UACGUAGGGGGCAAGCGUUGUCCGGAUUUAUUGGGCGUAAAGAGCGUGUAGGCGGCCAGGUAGGUCUGCUGUGAAAACUCGAGGCUCAACCUCGAGACGUCGGCGGAAACCAUCUGGCUAGAGUCCGGAAGAGGAGAGUGGAAUUCCUGGUGUAGCGGUGAAAUGCGCAGAUAUCAGGAAGAACGCCCGUGGCGAAGGCGGCUCUCUGGGACGGUACUGACGCUGAGACGCGAAAGCGUGGGGAGCGAACAGG
RNAcentral lists this ribosomal RNA (253 nucleotides) under uncultured bacterium. RNAcentral's name for it is "partial 16S ribosomal RNA". It matches the Rfam family "Bacterial small subunit ribosomal RNA", at positions 524 to 776 of the family's 1533-position model. The record is from RNAcentral.